AAUCUUCCGCAAUGGACGAAAGUCUGACGGAGCAACGCCGCGUGAGUGACGAAGGCCUUCGGGUCGUAAAGCUCUGUUGUUAGGGAAGAACAAGUACCGUUCGAAUAGGGCGGUACCUUGACGGUACCUAACCAGAAAGCCACGGCUAACUACGUGCCAGCAGCCGCGGUAAUACGUAGGUGGCAAGCGUUGUCCGGAAUUAUUGGGCGUAAAGCGCGCGCAGGCGGUCUUUUAAGUCUGAUGUGAAAGCCCACGGCUCAACCGUGGAGGGUCAUUGGAAACUGGAGGACUUGAGUGCAGAAGAGGAGAGUGGAAUUCCACGUGUAGCGGUGAAAUGCGUAGAUAUGUGGAGGAACACCAGUGGCGAAGGCGGCUCUCUGGUCUGUAACUGACGCUGAGGCGCGAAAGCGUGGGGAGCAAACAGGAUUAGAUACCCUGGUAGUCCACGCCGUAAACGAUGAGUGCUAGGUGUUGGGGGGUUCCACCCUCAGUGCUGAAGUUAACACAUUAAGCACUCCGCCUGGGGAGUACGACCGCAAGGUUGAAACUCAAAGGAAUUGACGGGG
This 566-nucleotide ribosomal RNA is filed under the name Guptibacillus hwajinpoensis. RNAcentral's name for it is "bacterial SSU rRNA". It matches the Rfam family "Bacterial small subunit ribosomal RNA", at positions 360 to 918 of the family's 1533-position model. Lineage: Bacteria; Bacillati; Bacillota; Bacilli; Caryophanales; Guptibacillaceae. The record is from RNAcentral.